CUGAGCUCAUGUCCUAGAUGUCCUUCAGCUCUAAAGAGGUGAGAUCAGAGGCCGUGGUCUCAGAAGCAGGAAGGAGGCUGGGGCCCAAGGAGGGAACUGUCGUCCCACAGCCAGGAGAGGCAUUUAACAUAUUUACUCACCAGUUUGCCAUGGAUCUAUCCAAAUCAGCAUCAGACCCCAGCUGGACCAUGUCUGGAAGGCCCUUGUCAUACCUCUGGACCAAGAGUUGACAAAUUUCAUAAAUGAUGACAAAGGCAGCCUAUGGAACGAUGACAUUCUAGGGUACCAGCCUGGGAAGAAAUAUCUUAGAAUGCAAACUUCCUCAAACACAGGGACCCUGGAUUUUAGGUGUUUGACUUGGUGAUCUCUGAAUGGGGCUGAGCACAGGAAAUACUAAAGAGCUACAAAUACUCAGAGAGAACAGGAAGGGCUGAGCUCCCGUUGGCCACUUGACAUAGUGCCAGCUUUCUUCAGGGUCCUACUCCACCCCUGCCAAGUUUCCAGUGAACCACAACAUCAUAGAAUCAAUUACAUUCUCGCGACUGUUAAUAUGGCACCGUGAGGUUCACACAGGCUCUCAACCAAGCCUUUCACCACCCCAGCAAGGAAAAUUCAGAACGCUUUACUGAGACUGGGAAACUGAUGCCCAGAAAGAGGCCCCAAGACACACAGUUAGUCAAGGGGAAAACAGGCUAGCAGUCAACAGUUUGGUCUUGCAGUCAGAAGAAUCUGCAUUGAAAUCCUUACUGGCUCCCCUCAGUUUGUUACCUUACUGUCUGAGUUUGUUUCCUCCUCUGCAAUACGGUACAUGCUUCCGGAACAAGGCUCCAGGGCCACCCUGCCAGGGAUCCUAGGUCAACCACUUAGCAGCUGAGUGAUCAUGGGCUGGUUACUUAACCACUCUGUGCCCUGGUUUACUCAUCUAUAAAAUGAGGAUAAUAUUUGUACCCACCACACGCACAACAUGCGUUACUCUCACAGACAUACGUUAAAAACAAAGAAGUCGGACCCAAAAAGGCACAUCCUGCAUGAUUCAUUUAUCUGAUGUUCGAAAACAAGCCAACUGUUUAGUGGGAAUGGGGCUUCCUUUUGGGGUGAUGAAAAUGUUUUGGAGACACAGAGAGGUGAUGGUUGCCCAAUAUCGUGAAUGUGUUCAAUGUCACUGGAUUAUUUUCUUUAAAAUGGCUAAUUUUGUAAAUAAUGUGAAUUUCACCUUAAUUUUUAAAAAUAAUUAAGUUAUUAAUUUUGAAAGUCAGCCAAACUCAUUGACAAUGCUGGAAAUCAAAAUAGUGGUUACCUUCUUGAGGAGAGGGUGGUGGUAAUGACCGAGAACGGCCAUGAGGAAGGCUUGGGGAAAACUUCUAUAGCUUAACCCAGGUGGUGGGGGCAUGGGGACACAUAGGUAAAAACUGAUUAAGCUCUGUGCUUAAGAUUUUUGCACUUGCAGGGCUAUUGUGAAAUUAAGUGAGGUAAUCCAUGUCUAGCUCUUUAAACAACCCUGACACAUAACAAAUGCUCAAUAAUUAGUAACUCUGGCUGGGCACGGUGGCUCACACCUGUAAUCCCAGCACUUUGGGAGGCUGAGGUGGGUGGAUCACCUGAGGUCAGGAGUUCAAGACCAGCCUGGCCAACAUGUUGAAACCCAUUUCUACUAAAAAUACAAAAAUUAGCCGGGCGUGGUGGCACAUGCCCAUGGUUCCAGCUACUCGGGAGGCUGAGGCAGAAGAAUCACUUGAACCUGGGAGGCAGAGGUUGCAGUGAGCCAAGAACGCACCACUGCACUCCAAACUGGGUGACAGAGCAAGACUCUGUCUCAAAAAAAUAAUAAUAAUAAAGAAAGAAAAUUAGUAACUCUUAUUAGUGUCAUCAUUAUCGUAUGCAGUCUGGAAGGUUGGAUGAGAUGAUACACAUAAGGCACUUAGGCAGGAGUUUUGUAUAUGCCCCAAUAGAGGCAAUUUUCACUAAUAUUAAAUCAAACCCAAACCUCUGGCUCAAGAUUCAGAGUGCUUUGCAAAGUGCUGUCCUGCCCACUCCUAGGGAUUGGUUUGACAUGUGCUAUGUGGAAGAGAGCCAAGGAUUUAAGGAUUAGGGCUUGGUACACCGCAGCACAGCCUCUGGAUAAGCUGGCUUCCCUCCCUCAGGCGAGUCUGGGUACAAAGUAAACCAGUUGCCAUCACAAAGGCAGACUUUGGAAGAGAACAGUCACCUCACAUUCACGCAAAGGUCGAUGGUAUCUGAGAAAGAAUGGGCCAAGUUAAAUCUAGCUUUUAUUGUCCCCUGACUGGUGGGGGACUACCCUGCUCAUUAAUCUGCUCAUUUGAUUGGCAUCCUUUCCUGCCCAAUUCCCUUUGACUGGCAUGCUUCAUGCAGACCCAAAAGAAUAAUCUUCCCUUCAUUGGGCCACACAAUCCCAGGUACAUAUCCGCCUCUCCAACACCUAUGAUGUGGGGCCGUGCUCAUACAUCGGGUAUCUCUCCUUCCAAAUCCCAGACAAGAGCCCUGUUUCAGUCAACUUUUCAGCUCAAGGGUGGCUCCUGGAACACAGCAGGGACUAAAUGUGUAAAGGAGAAAGGGACAGAGGGAGAGGCUCCCUAGUUGGGUAGAUCCUUUCUUUUUUCUUUUUUCUUUUUUUUUUUUUUUUGAGACGGAGACUUGCUCUAUCGCCCAGGCUGG
This 2673-nucleotide long non-coding RNA is filed under the name Homo sapiens (human). RNAcentral describes it as "HSALNT0143292". Lineage: Eukaryota; Metazoa; Chordata; Mammalia; Primates; Hominidae. The record is from RNAcentral.